GUGGGGAAUAUUGGGCAAUGGGGGAAACCCUGACCCAGCGACGCCGCGUGAGGGAAGACGGCCUUCGGGUUGUAAACCUCUUUUGUAUGGGAAGAAGGAAGUGACGGUACUGUACGAAUAAGUCCCGGCUAACUACGUGCCAGCAGCCGCGGUAAUACGUAGGGGACGAGCGUUGUCCGGAAUUACUGGGCGUAAAGGGCGCGCAGGCUGUGCUGCAAGUCAGCUGUGAAAUGUCUGGGCUUAACCCGGGCAUGCGGUUGAGACUGCAGUGCUGGAGUGCUGUAGAGGCAAGUGGAAUUCCCAGUGUAGCGGUGAAAUGCGUAGAUAUUGGGAAGAACACCGGUGGCGAAGGCGACUUGCUGGGCAGCAACUGACGCUGAGGCGCGAAAGCCAGGGGAGCAAACGGGAUUAGAAACCCUUGUAGUCC
This 427-nucleotide ribosomal RNA is filed under the name uncultured bacterium. RNAcentral describes it as "partial 16S ribosomal RNA". It matches the Rfam family "Bacterial small subunit ribosomal RNA", at positions 354 to 796 of the family's 1533-position model. The record is from RNAcentral.